This is a ribosomal RNA of Gorilla gorilla gorilla (western lowland gorilla), 133 nucleotides long. The record is from Ensembl. NCBI's taxonomy places the organism in Eukaryota, Metazoa, Chordata, Mammalia, Primates, Hominidae.
GUCUACGGCCAUACCACCCUGAACGCGCCUGAUCUUGACUGAUCUUGGAAGCUAAGCAGCGUUGAGUCUGGUUAGUACUUGGAUGGGAGAACAAACACACAUUGAAGUAUAUGGGUUUAAACGGCUGUGGAUA